Molecule: ribosomal RNA, 492 nt
Filed under: Nematoda environmental sample
Lineage: Eukaryota; Metazoa; Nematoda
Description: partial large subunit ribosomal RNA
Rfam family: Eukaryotic large subunit ribosomal RNA
Source: RNAcentral
CCAAGGAGUCUAACAUGUUCGCAAGUCAUUGGGUUGUAAAACCCAAAGGCAUAAUGAAAGUGAAGAUCAGUUCUGCUGGUCGAGGUGGGAUCUCUCUUCAAGGGAGCGCACCACCGUCCCAUCGCAUUUGCUCGUCAAAGCGGUGGAGAAAGAGCGUACAUGUUGGGACCCGAAAGAUGGUGAACUAUGCCUGAGCAGGAUGAAGCCAGAGGAAACUCUGGUGGAGGUCCGUAGCGGUUCUGACGUGCAAAUCGAUCGUCAGACUUGGGUAUAGGGGCGAAAGACUAAUCGAACCAUCUAGUAGCUGGUUCCCUCCGAAGUUUCCCUCAGGAUAGCUGGCACUUUUACGCAGUUUUACCCGGUAAAGCGAAUGAUUAGAGGCCUUGGGGACGAAACGACCUCAACCUAUUCUCAAACUUUAAAUGGGUAAGAAGUCUCGCUUGCCUGACCGAAGCUCAGACGUUGAAUGCGAGUGCCGAGUGGGCCAUUUUU